AGCAGCCCCGGUGGCCGAAUGGGUAAUACGGCCACCUGGUAGUGCCUUGGUAUGGGGACCCAAGACACAUGGGUUCGAAACCCGCAGGGGACAACAUUACAUCCAAAGCCAACUUCUCAGCUCCUAAAAUAAUGAGAUGUGAACUUGCCAAGUAGGUACCUUUGAGUGGACCUACUACCUGAUUUAGCUGAUUUUUCCUGGGCUGGGAACCUGUAUUGCAUGUAUCAAUCCUGUCUCUCAUUUGAUUUUCCUAUAUUCUAGUUAUAUCUUGGCGCAUUUUCAACAUUAGCAUUCCUCCUGUAUAACCAACUCUUGCCUGUAUUUAACAUCACACAAGGACUCAUCAUAAGUACUGCUUGCACAUGAGUAUAAGAAAGAAUAAUAAUAAUAAUAAUACUGAA
This 401-nucleotide small RNA is filed under the name Histoplasma capsulatum var. duboisii H88. RNAcentral's name for it is "Histoplasma capsulatum H88 hypothetical RNA". The record is from RNAcentral. Lineage: Eukaryota; Fungi; Ascomycota; Eurotiomycetes; Onygenales; Ajellomycetaceae.